UACGGGGGGGGCAAGCGUUGUUCGGAAUUACUGGGCGUAAAGCGCGCGUAGGCGGACCUGCAAGUCGGGGGUGAAAGCCCGAGGCUCAACCUCGGAACUGCCUUCGAUACUGCGGGUCUCGAGUCCGGGAGAGGUGAGUGGAAUUCCUAGUGUAGAGGUGAAAUUCGUAGAUAUUCGCAAGAACACCAGUGGCGAAGGCGGCUCACUGGCCCGGUACUGACGCUGAGGUGCGAAAGCGUGGGGAGCAAACAGG
This 253-nucleotide ribosomal RNA is filed under the name uncultured bacterium. Its description in RNAcentral is "partial 16S ribosomal RNA". It matches the Rfam family "Bacterial small subunit ribosomal RNA", at positions 524 to 776 of the family's 1533-position model. The record is from RNAcentral.